AGCAGCCGCGGUAAUUCCAGCUCCAAUAGCGUAUAUUAAAGUUGUUGCAGUUAAAAAGCUCGUAGUUGAAUUUCGGGAUCAAUACGUCGGUCGUGCUUCGGUACGUACUGGCGUAAUUGAUUUCUCCCUUCUGACGAACCAUGAUGUCAUUAACUUGGUGUCAUGGGAAAUCAGGACUGUUACUUUGAAAAAAUUAGAGUGUUUAAAGCAGGCUCACGCUUGAAUACAUUAGCAUGGAAUAAUGAAAUAGGACGUUCGAUCCUAUUUUGUUGGUUUUUAGGAUCAACGUAAUGAUUAAUAGGGAUAGUUGGGGGCAUUAGUAUUCAAUUGUCAGAGGUGAAAUUCUUGGAUUUAUUGAAGACUAACUACUGCGAAAGCAUUUGCCAAGGAUGUUUUCAUUAAUCAAGAACGAAAGUUAGGGGAUCGAAGACGAUCAGAUACCGUCGUAGUCUUAACCAUAAACUAUGCCGACUAGGGAUCGGAUGAUGUUAAUUUUUAAUGUACUCAUUCG
Molecule: ribosomal RNA, 511 nt
Filed under: uncultured Glomus
Lineage: Eukaryota; Fungi; Glomeromycota; Glomeromycetes; Glomerales; Glomeraceae
Description: SSU rRNA
Rfam family: Eukaryotic small subunit ribosomal RNA
Source: RNAcentral